Molecule: long non-coding RNA, 497 nt
Organism: Neofelis nebulosa (Clouded leopard)
Lineage: Eukaryota; Metazoa; Chordata; Mammalia; Carnivora; Felidae
Exons: 2
Source: RefSeq, a predicted model, not a curated record
ACCAACACGAGGCUGGUCACUAUAAAUCGGGGAGGGGUCAUUCGAUUCUCUCCGGGUUUUUCCUUCCUCUGGUCAUUGUUCACUUAACUUCGGGGAAAAGUGUUGCAUCCUAUAACAUGACACCUGCCGGAAUUCCUCUCAUCUAUUCUUGAUUAAAAGCAUGGCGACCGUGGUCAUCAGGACGAGGCCCUGAUCAUCGGCAAGCUAGGUGGAGAGAAAAGCCAGUUACCUGGGAAUGAUCUGGAAACCACAGAUGGCUGGAGGCCACGGCCCUCGACCGUCUCAUCCUUUCCUGACCAGGGGCCACUGGGAAUGGACCAGUGCCCACUCAAGCCAGUAGCCUAGAAGAGAAUGUAACAUCUCUCUACUCUGACUCAGAGAUAAGGAUCCCAGUCCAUGGCUGCAGAAACAAAGUCAGUCGCCAUCGAUCAGUCCAGAUAUCUAUUACCGUAUUCAGCCAUUUGGGUUCAAAUAAAGCCUUGUUUGGAUCAUAGUGA